GCACCCGUAGCUCAGCUGGAUAGAGCGCUGCCCUCCGAAGGCAGAGGUCACAGGUUCGAAUCCUGUCGGGUGCACCA
Molecule: transfer RNA, 77 nt
Filed under: Paracoccus sp. (in: a-proteobacteria)
Lineage: Bacteria; Pseudomonadati; Pseudomonadota; Alphaproteobacteria; Rhodobacterales; Paracoccaceae
Also listed under: 104 other names
Description: tRNA-Arg
Rfam family: tRNA
About the family: Transfer RNA (tRNA) molecules are approximately 80 nucleotides in length. Their secondary structure includes four short double-helical elements and three loops (D, anti-codon, and T loops). Further hydrogen bonds mediate the characteristic L-shaped molecular structure. tRNAs have two regions of fundamental functional importance: the anti-codon, which is responsible for specific mRNA codon recognition, and the 3' end, to which the tRNAs corresponding amino acid is attached (by aminoacyl-tRNA synthetases). tRNAs cope with the degeneracy of the genetic code in two manners: having more than one tRNA (with a specific anti-codon) for a particular amino acid; and 'wobble' base-pairing, i.e. permitting non-standard base-pairing at the 3rd anti-codon position.
Source: RNAcentral